ACAAUGAUACUUCCGUCCGUGAAGAGCGGGCGGCCCGGCGCGAACCGCGGGGAGGCUGGAACCCUAUG
RNAcentral lists this non-coding RNA (68 nucleotides) under uncultured Eubacterium sp. RNAcentral describes it as "pemK RNA". It matches the Rfam family "pemK RNA". Lineage: Bacteria; Bacillati; Bacillota; Clostridia; Eubacteriales; Eubacteriaceae. The record is from RNAcentral.